GAUGAACGCUGGCGGCGUGCCUAAUACAUGCAAGUCGAGCGAACAGACGAGGAGCUUGCUCCUUCGACGUUAGCGGCGGACGGGUGAGUAACACGUAGGUAACCUACCUAUAAGACUGGGAUAACUUCGGGAAACCGGAGCUAAUACCGGAUAAUAUUUCGAACCGCAUGGUUCGAUAGUGAAAGAUGGCUUUGCUAUCACUUAUAGAUGGACCUGCGCCGUAUUAGCUAGUUGGUAAGGUAACGGCUUACCAAGGCAACGAUACGUAGCCGACCUGAGAGGGUGAUCGGCCACACUGGAACUGAGACACGGUCCAGACUCCUACGGGAGGCAGCAGUAGGGAAUCUUCCGCAAUGGGCGAAAGCCUGACGGAGCAACGCCGCGUGAGUGAUGAAGGUCUUCGGAUCGUAAAACUCUGUUAUUAGGGAAGAACAAACGUGUAAGUAACUGUGCACGUCUUGACGGUACCUAAUCAGAAAGCCACGGCUAGCUACGUG
Molecule: ribosomal RNA, 497 nt
Filed under: uncultured bacterium
Lineage: Bacteria
Description: partial 16S ribosomal RNA
Rfam family: Bacterial small subunit ribosomal RNA
Source: RNAcentral